UAUGGCAAAUGUGUGGAGUGCAUCCUGUGGGAGGUGUACUAGUGAUUGGGUAUAGGUUGUGAAGUGUUGUUUGUGUGUAAUGAUUGAUUUGUAGUGAUUGAGAUAUAGUGUCGAGACUUGAGAUGCCAUGAAUUAUAUAUUAUUGUACUAACACAAUUUUGCAGGAGGAUAGGUCAAUUAACAUUUCUUGCAGGGCUCGACUUAUCCUAAUAGGAGGUGCAGCUCAGGUAAUGUAUUAUUAUAAUAUAUAAUAUUUAUUUAGUAAACGAGAUAAAUAUAUAAAGACCGCAGAGUCUGUUAUUUUAUUGUUUUUGGGAAUGGAGUUCCCUACCCUUGUCCACUCAUACCAGCAUAAUUUGCUGACCCAUGUUGCUUGUUUUGCACGUGGGUACGUAUCCUUAUGGAGCGUAGGCGGAGGAGAGCAGCCAGUUGAGUACGAUCGGGAGCAACAUCAGGAGGCUCGUGUAGAUCCAGUUGUUCGAGAGGGAGUUUGAGAUUCGCAGGAGUUAUCUUUCACAGUAGGUUUAGUUCUUUGAUUCGUUGUCAAUUGAUUACUCGAGUUUAUUUUAUUUAUUGGAUUAUUGUUGAUUUGGGGAAGACAAUACCUCAGUAGAAGUUGUUGAAUUUUAUUAUUGGAGUUGUGUAAUUUGAUAUUUGGAGUUUUUGGAUUAUAUAUGGAAGUUAUUGGGAGUUCAAAUUAUUUGUGUUGAAGUAUUUGUCUUUAAUGGCUAUGGAUUUUUACCUUGUGCAAAUGUUUAUUUAGAUUACUGUCUUGAUCCUUUUUUCUUUUAUUGGCUUAUU
Molecule: long non-coding RNA, 801 nt
Filed under: Aquilegia coerulea
Lineage: Eukaryota; Viridiplantae; Streptophyta; Magnoliopsida; Ranunculales; Ranunculaceae
Description: long non-coding RNA (ACOE_LNC002017)
Source: RNAcentral